UGUGUUAUACCUUGAGGGUGAUUGGGAAACACGGAGACGAUGAAAAUAAUGAGGAAGGCUGAUCACAAGUAUCUUGAGGGAGACGAGGUGAUGAAUCUGGACCGUUCAUUUGAUUUUCAACGCCGUCAAAACCUGACAUUAUUGUUAUGUCCUUCUUUCUUUACCUUAUAUAUAAAAACAGAUGGCGAAACUUAAACGGAGUUAGAGGACGGAGAGAGAGAGAGGUGAGUGAAUAUGGAGAAGUCUGAAGAUCGGGGGGUGAGAUGCUGAGACCUCUAUUUAUGGAGAAGAAGUGGGACGUGAAAGGCAAGUGGAUGACACGUCAGCA
Molecule: long non-coding RNA, 328 nt
Filed under: Brassica napus (rape)
Lineage: Eukaryota; Viridiplantae; Streptophyta; Magnoliopsida; Brassicales; Brassicaceae
Description: long non-coding RNA (BNAP_LNC006371)
Source: RNAcentral